UUUUAAAAUCUAAAAACUGAAAAUGGGUUCUCCAGACCUUUUAAGGGUUAAACAGAAUGAAUACCAGGCCACAGUGGACAUGGCCCUAUACCCAUGGCUGAGCCACAGUAUUCACUGUAUUACUGGUGCAUUUUUGUUAGUUUUUGGCUCAAGGUUAAACUUCCUGUUACAGGCGAUCAGACAAACAGGACCAAAGGUAACACACGCACACACACACAUACGCGCGCAUUCUGCAGGUAUGCUGUUGAGCAUAUUGAAGCUCAGCUCAUUUAACAGGCACCAUGACCCAGUCUACAGCUGAAAACUUUCUGAGAGAGAAUAGGACCACUAUUGUAAACGGUGUGACAAAAGAACAGUGUGACAGUUUGGUUGAUUUUCUUCUUGAAAAAGGCCUUUUUUUUGAUGAAUCUGGAAGUGAAAUUCGCACCCUGAAUACCAGUCAGAAGAAAAUGCGCAAGCUUCUGGAAUCUGUAAAAACAAAGAAGGCAAAUGAACUGGUGUUGCAGUGGCUGAGGGAGAAGCUGCCUGAUCUGAUUGAUGAUUUGGAAAACAACAGCGACCAUGAUCCGCCUCCGAGUAAGUUAUUGUAAUACCUGUUACACUUUCACUCAAACAUUACACUGAAUACCUAUUACAUGUAACUGAACUCUCAGCUAAAUGUAAAAUAUUGUCAAUGGAAUCUAACACUAAUAUUAACUUAACCCUAACUUUGAAUCUACCCUAAAACCUAACCCUCAAAUGUUAAAGUUAGGGUAUAGUUAAAUGUUAGAUGAACAUAAACAUGUCAACAAUGGACCAUCCUUGUAAAGUGUCACCUUUUAUCAUAAUACUUGUUAAUUUUGAGUUUGUCAACCCUUCCUUUCUCUUUCUCUCUUUUGUACACACAGAGAAGAAGUCUAGAAGGCAUAGAAACAAUGUAGAUGAAGCAGACAGUUGCUUCAGUCAACCUGGCAAGUCUUUCAUUAUUUGAUAAAAAAAAACUAUUGAAUGUUUUACCCUUAUCAAAGCUUCUAGAGCUGCACAAUAGCUGUUACUCAACCCAUCCUGCACUUAAAAACAUAUGACCUUUUUUUGUUUUUCCCAUCAUAACCUUGACAGAUCUCAAGGAUUUAUCCUUUCCCCAGUUGGAAGAAUGGGUGUCCAAUUCUACAGUCAGCCAAAACCUAAUUAAGAACUUGAAAA
Molecule: long non-coding RNA, 1182 nt
Filed under: Astyanax mexicanus (Mexican tetra)
Lineage: Eukaryota; Metazoa; Chordata; Actinopteri; Characiformes; Acestrorhamphidae
Description: lncRNA (ENSAMXG00005024115.1)
Source: RNAcentral